AAAAACAUAGCCUUUAGCCAAACAAGUAUUAAAGGUCUAGCCUGCCCAGUGAAUUAUUUCAACGGCCGCGGUAUCCUAACCGUGCAAAGGUAGCGUAAUCAUUUGUCUUCUAAAUAGAGACUUGUAUGAACGGCUAACUGAGGGCCCAACUGUCUCCUUAGGCCAAUCAAUGAAACUGAUCUUUCAGUACAAAAGCUGAAAUAAACACAUAAGACGAGAAGACCCUGUGGAGCUUAAAACCUACACUAUAAACGCCCAUCCAUCCCUAAAGGGACACCUCCCUCCCCAUAGUAAAAAGUUUUUAGUUGGGGCGACUUUGGAACAAAACAGAACUUCCAUGCCAGGGACCCCUCCCUAUAAAGGCUUACAUGCCAAAAUAAUACUCUUUUGACCCAGCCUGUCUGAUCAACGAACCAAGUUACCCCAGGGAUAACAGCGCCAUCCUCUUCAAGAGUUCCUAUCGACAAGAGGGUUUACGACCUCGAUGUUGGAUCAGGACACCCCGGUGGUGUAGCCGCUACCAAAGGUUCGUUUGUUCAACGAUUAACAGU
RNAcentral lists this ribosomal RNA (551 nucleotides) under Woodworthia maculata (Raukawa gecko). Its description in RNAcentral is "partial 16S ribosomal RNA". It matches the Rfam family "Bacterial large subunit ribosomal RNA", at positions 1809 to 2594 of the family's 2925-position model. The record is from RNAcentral. Lineage: Eukaryota; Metazoa; Chordata; Lepidosauria; Squamata; Diplodactylidae.